RNAcentral lists this unclassified non-coding RNA (82 nucleotides) under Pseudomonas migulae. The record is from RNAcentral. Lineage: Bacteria; Pseudomonadati; Pseudomonadota; Gammaproteobacteria; Pseudomonadales; Pseudomonadaceae.
GGAGCCGGCUUGCUGGCGAUAGCGGUCUACCAUUCAAGAUUUUUAUUGAUUGACACACCACUAUCGCCAGCAAGCCGACUCC